GAUGAACGCUAGCGGCAGGCCUAACACAUGCAAGUCGAGGGGCAGCACAGGUAGCAAUACUGGGUGGCGACCGGCGGAUGGGUGCGUAACGCGUAUGCAACCUACCAUUGAUUGGGGCAUAGCCCGAAGAAAUUCGGAUUAAUACUCCAUAAUAUUCAUCAAAGGCAUCUUUUAUGAAUUAAAGCUUUUGCGAUCAAUGAUGGGCAUGCGUGACAUUAGUUAGUUGGUGAGGUAACGGCUCACCAAAACGAUGAUGUCUAGGGGUUCUGAGAGGAUUAUCCCCCACACUGGUACUGAGACACGGACCAGACUCCUACGGGAGGCAGCAGUGAGGAAUAUUGGUCAAUGGACGCAAGCCUGAACCAGCCAUCCCGCGUGCAGGAAGACGGCCCUAUGGGUUGUAAACUGCUUUUCCAGGGAGAGAAACUUACGCACGUGUUGCGUGACUGACGGUACCCUGGGAAUAGCAUCGGCUAACUCCGUG
This 484-nucleotide ribosomal RNA is filed under the name uncultured bacterium. RNAcentral's name for it is "bacterial SSU rRNA". It matches the Rfam family "Bacterial small subunit ribosomal RNA", at positions 28 to 507 of the family's 1533-position model. The record is from RNAcentral.